GGGAGCAUUCUGUCUAUGCAGUUUUCAGGUGUGUAUUACUGGGUUGUAACUGUGGAAAGAUAAGCAUCUUUGCCCAGUGUUUGGUACAUAUUACAUGCUCAAUAAAUAUUUGUUGAAUGAUGAAUGAAUAAAAGGCUAAAAUGUUUACACUUAGAUGCAUUGUCUACAUGAGUAAAAGUACCACCCAAUGGACUUCUUUUUGACUGAAGUGUUAAGAAACCAAAGAUUUUGACACCACCAAGAUUUUAAAUGAUGAAAAUGUGGAGAGAACAGUGUUCUGUGUUGUUUAUACGGAGCACUGCAGUCUUUGGAAUCCCACGUCACCUCUGCACAGCGUGUUCAUGGGAGGAUCGCCUGUCACCGCAGCACCUCUGGGAAGAAAGACAGCAGCCAACUGGCUCAUGGCACAGCAGUAGCAAGAGAAGAAAUUUCUGGCCAACAAGUCUGUAGCAAAUAUAGUCUGCUGUUAAUCAUGCUCAGUAGGAAGGUUUUUGCAGUUCUUUCUUUCUUCUGUAGCUCUCCUCAGUAGGCUAGCCACCAGAGACAGGGUCUUGCUAUAUAGACCAGGCUGACUUUGAACUCAUCAUGUAGCCCAGCCUAGCCUCAAACUCAUGGCAAUCCUCCUGCCUCAGCCUCUUGAGUUUUGGGGUCACAAGUAUGCAUCAUCACAUCAAGG
This 676-nucleotide long non-coding RNA is filed under the name Heterocephalus glaber (naked mole-rat). RNAcentral's name for it is "lncRNA (ENSHGLG00000046453.1)". Lineage: Eukaryota; Metazoa; Chordata; Mammalia; Rodentia; Bathyergidae. The record is from RNAcentral.